GAUUGACGACGUCCGAGCUGAUGAAAACGGAGUAUUAUUCUUGUUGGACUCCAGUAACAAUGAAGCUGAGCUUUCAGUACCUACUAGUAAUACUGAUUCUCCAAAGAACUUUGAUGAGCUAUUAAUUACUGAGGUACAGAAAUAUCCAGCAUUGUACGAUCACCGGAUACCGAUUGAGCAACGAAGUCGUGCUAAACGCGAUAGCUGUUGGCGAAAAAUAUAUGUGAAUCUUCAAGGUGAGAUUCCAAUUGCAGACCUGCAAAAAAAAUGGAAAAAUGAGCGCGAUAAAUAUAUAAAGGCUAAGAAAGAAGAUCAAAAAUACGUACCAAGUGGAUCAGCUGCACAGAUAAAAAAGCCAC
RNAcentral lists this unclassified non-coding RNA (359 nucleotides) under Athalia rosae (coleseed sawfly). Its description in RNAcentral is "misc RNA ENSAEAG00005008356.1". Lineage: Eukaryota; Metazoa; Arthropoda; Insecta; Hymenoptera; Athaliidae. The record is from RNAcentral.